Molecule: ribosomal RNA, 253 nt
Filed under: uncultured bacterium
Lineage: Bacteria
Description: partial 16S ribosomal RNA
Rfam family: Bacterial small subunit ribosomal RNA
Source: RNAcentral
UACGGAGGAUCCAAGCGUUAUCCGGAUUUAUUGGGUUUAAAGGGUGCGUAGGCGGAACGAUAAGUCAGUGGUGAAAGCCUGCAGCUUAACUGCAGAACUGCCAUUGAUACUGUCGAUCUUGAGUACAUUUGAUGUGGGCGGAAUGUGUCAUGUAGCGGUGAAAUGCUUAGAUAUGACACAGAACACCGAUUGCGAAGGCAGCUCACAAAACUGUAACUGACGCUGAGGCACGAAAGCGUGGGUAUCAAACAGG